CCGUUACACCUGGCUUGCCUAUGCGCUUCCUCAACCAACCCUCUCCUUUAGGACCAAAGCAGAGCCAGGGAGGGUCAUGCUACCACCUGUGAUCUGUUCCAGUUGCUGCAAAUGAGAGAUUUUGUUUUUACACCUGAGGGUACGUUCCGCACGCCAAAGUCACGAACUUUGCAGCUUCUCACGUUGGCGUGUGUAUGUGGCAGUGUGAAACAGGGCUGCCUGGGACAGAGAGAUCACGAACACGGACUCUGGAGCCAGAUGGCCUCGGUUUGAAUUCUGCUCUGCCACCUACCGUGUGACCUGGGACAGUCACUUAAUCUUCCUGAGCCUCAAGUGCACUGUAAAUGCCAUGGCACUACGAAGUCUCUUCAUUUCCCAAAUGAACCUUACGAUCAGUUAAAAUGGCGGCAUAUCCACAGGCUGAUGAGAAAACAAAAUCCUCUGGUCUCUCUGAUCAUGUGGUUCAUCUGCACAAAGAUGCAUCAUCCUGCCACCUUUAGUCCCACGCUGGUUUCCAGCUGUCCUCAGAGCAAGGAAGACAAUAUGACCUCCAGCCAAUUUUCUGAUGUCACAUGCCUUCAACUUGGCCCCCAUGGUUUUCCAACCAAAACAACGUUUCCUGAAGACUACUGAAGCAAAACCAAGAAUAAUAGAAAGUUUAUGUCUGGUUGUUUUUAAAAUUUAUUUGAGGAACACAAAAAAGUGUAUCUGAGUGAUUUUUUUUAAAAACAAGUUUUUAAUUCAUCAUAUGCUGCCUCACCACUCCAUAUGUAGUCUAAAAGAUGGUUCAAACACAUCUGAUUUCUAGACAAAUUAAGAUCACUGAAUUUGAUAUAAGAAUAUAUGAAGUUUCUUCUCGAGAGGUGAUGGGCACCCACAAUCAUAUGCUCAGAACCACCCACACACCCCUUCCCUCCCCUCCCUGCACUCUUGCCCUCCCUACCCCCCCCCCCCCCAAAUCUGGUGACCCAUAACACACACCUGGGAGACAGUUGGCUGGGGUGAUCUAAUUUUUGGAAUUGUUCUUUUGUUUGUUACCUGCAAAACACUAACUGGCCUUUUUAGGAUGAAAUCUCAGUAUUGGCCUCAUUGAAGUCAUGCUCUAGUCAACAGAGCUACAAAUACUAAACAGUUAAGCAAACAAAGCAAAAUCAACUUUUGCUUUUCAUAUUUCCUAGGCGAGUCUGGGGCUUUUGAAGAAAUCUCAUGAAAAAAGACAAAAGUGAGAAAUUAAAAGGAUUCUAGUUGUCAAAAGAGAAACUCACAAUUUCAUUCCGUUUGUUCCAUGGAGCAGAGAACUGGUAUAAAAGGAAAUGAUUUAAUUUUUAGGUUGCCACGUGGGUCCUAACCUAACAACGAAAGUGUUUUGUUAAAACCACCAUAAAAGUAAAAAUGAAGUUAAUUGCCAGUGUUCUUUAGGAUUUUACAAAUGAGAUGUUCCAGGUUGGAGCGACUGUUUCCUUCAGUUGCAGGCGCUUUCCCACGAGAGCCUUCAGGCUGUGGGGAGAGAAAGCCACGCUCAAUCUCGCUUACCCGUAAGGACCAAGAUUCCACUGCGUGUACGUAUUUUAAGACUUGCCCCGAUUCACCGCCCCAGUACUGGAGCUUUCAAGGCGAGAUGUGCCUGCACAGGAAGCGGUUUUCGAUUCUUUUUCACAACCCACACCAGAA
This is a long non-coding RNA of Felis catus (domestic cat), 1671 nucleotides long. RefSeq lists it as uncharacterized. The transcript is spliced from 2 exons. The record is from RefSeq and is a predicted model, not a curated record. Lineage: Eukaryota; Metazoa; Chordata; Mammalia; Carnivora; Felidae.